RNAcentral lists this ribosomal RNA (765 nucleotides) under uncultured Streptococcus sp. RNAcentral describes it as "bacterial SSU rRNA". It matches the Rfam family "Bacterial small subunit ribosomal RNA", at positions 28 to 776 of the family's 1533-position model. Lineage: Bacteria; Bacillati; Bacillota; Bacilli; Lactobacillales; Streptococcaceae. The record is from RNAcentral.
GACGAACGCUGGCGGCGUGCCUAAUACAUGCAAGUAGAACGCUGAAGAGAGGAGCUUGCUCUUCUUGGAAGAGUUGCGAACGGGUGAGUAACGCGUAGGUAACCUGCCUUGUAGCGGGGGAUAACUAUUGGAAACGAUAGCUAAUACCGCAUAACAAUGGGUGACCCAUGUCAUUCAUUUGAAAGGGGCAACUGCUCCACUACAAGAUGGACCUGCGUUGUAUUAGCUAGUAGGUGAGGUAACGGCUCACCUAGGCGACGAUACAUAGCCGACCUGAGAGGGUGAUCGGCCACACUGGGACUGAGACACGGCCCAGACUCCUACGGGAGGCAGCAGUAGGGAAUCUUCGGCAAUGGGGGCAACCCUGACCGAGCAACGCCGCGUGAGUGAAGAAGGUUUUCGGAUCGUAAAGCUCUGUUGUAAGAGAAGAACGAGUGUGAGAGUGGAAAGUUCACACUGCGACGGUAUCUUACCAGAAAGGGACGGCUAACUACGUGCCAGCAGCCGCGGUAAUACGUAGGUCCCGAGCGUUGUCCGGAUUUAUUGGGCGUAAAGCGAGCGCAGGCGGUUAGAUAAGUCUGAAGUUAAAGGCUGUGGCUUAACCAUAGUACGCUUUGGAAACUGUUUAACUUGAGUGCAGAAGGGGAGAGUGGAAUUCCAUGUGUAGCGGUGAAAUGCGUAGAUAUAUGGAGGAACACCGGUGGCGAAAGCGGCUCUCUGGUCUGUAACUGACGCUGAGGCUCGAAAGCGUGGGGAGCAAACAGG